UGAAAAUGCGGCAACAAGAAA
RNAcentral lists this non-coding RNA (21 nucleotides) under Caenorhabditis elegans. Lineage: Eukaryota; Metazoa; Nematoda; Chromadorea; Rhabditida; Rhabditidae. The record is from RNAcentral.